Molecule: ribosomal RNA, 253 nt
Filed under: uncultured bacterium
Lineage: Bacteria
Description: partial 16S ribosomal RNA
Rfam family: Bacterial small subunit ribosomal RNA
Source: RNAcentral
GACGAACCGAGCGAACGUUGUUCGGAAUCACUGGGCUUAAAGGGCGCGUAGGCGGGUUCGCAAGUCUGUGGUGAAAUCCUCCGGCUCAACCGGAGAACUGCCUUGGAUACUGCGGGUCUCGAGGGUGAUAGGGGUAUGCGGAACUAUCGGUGGAGCGGUGAAAUGCGUUGAUAUCGAUAGGAACUCCGGUGGCGAAGGCGGCAUACUGGAUCACUUCUGACGCUGAGGCGCGAAAGCCAGGGGAGCAAACGGG